Danaus plexippus (monarch butterfly) is the source of this 3266-nucleotide long non-coding RNA. RefSeq lists it as uncharacterized. Lineage: Eukaryota; Metazoa; Arthropoda; Insecta; Lepidoptera; Nymphalidae. The transcript has 3 exons. The record is from RefSeq and is a predicted model, not a curated record.
GCGCGCCGCCGCGUCGGCUAGUCUUGUGUUACCUUAUCGAAAAUAUUUCCUUAAGGGUUACAUUUUAAAUGCGCAAUUAACGCCGCGAGUGCACCCCCAAGGCAUCACAACACGACGAAAAGGUGCGAUGCGGUGUGCUAAUGGAAAGGAGCGUGUCGGAAUUCAUCGAGUGAACAUGUGCGUCCCCGCUCGACGGGAGCCGGUUCCAGUUAUGCAAUAACUUUCAAAAAUGCCGGUUCCAACAUUGCAGUUUGUUCCGAGAUUUGAAUUGAGAACAAUGAAACCAUAAUUAUUGAGAAAAAAUUACAAAUCUAUUAAGAGAGAAGAUGUAUCAUCACUAAUAUUUUGAAGAAAAAUCGUUUGAAGUUUGCAGAAUGCAGAUAUUCAAAAAAAUUAUUUACCGUACGCUUCCAAGAAACAAAAUACAGACAAUAAUGUGACUGGAAUGUUUAUAUAAAAAAAAAAAACAUGUAAAUGAUGAUAUAGAAGCUAAUCGUCGCCGGAUAUUGGAAAUCCGGUAGCUUUCCAGAGCCGAUAACCGGAUGUUGUACGUGAAUAGAUCAAUCAUUCGUUCCAAAAAUUUCAAUCACCUAAAUGAACAAAAUGCAGACAAAUAAAGAACUCUAAUAUUCUACUUUUCAGAUCUGCGCAUGCAUUUAUAAAGAAAAGAAAGAAAUUUCAAAAGGGAUCUUCUUUAAACUCAAUAUAAUCGUACAGAUUACAAAUAUUAUUUCAGAAAACAAAGCAAUAUAAAAUUCAGUCUUCAUACUUAUAUUAUAAAUGCGAAAGGUGACUGUCUCGUUACCUUGUCACAGCCAAUCGUUCAAAUCCAAUAGAAUGAAAUUUGCUAAGUAAAUAAAUAACAAAUCGGAGAAGGGCAUUUUUAUAUAAAAAUGCUUGUAAAAGAUUGAGACUUUAUAUUCAGUAAAUACCGAUCAUUUUUGCUUUAUUGUAUAUGCUUAGUUCAGGUAUGGUAUUUCAAGUUUCUGCUGUUAAUUGUGAAAAUAUUUAGAGCUAUUUUCGUUUUUCAAGGACACCACGCCGUUUUUAUUUUAAUAUACAUUAAUAUAAUCUUAAACGAAAGAAUAACAGACAGGCAACAAUCUGAGUGGACUUAUUUACCGCAGCAAGCGCUGUGCACACACGUUAUAUCCUUAUUUAAACAAAUUAAAACGGAGUUAUUUGUUGCAAAGUUAUCUUGUAUAGUAAGUUUAUUAACUGACUACUAAAAAGUAAAAGAUUUUCAAAUCAAGUAGGUUUUAUUUGUAUGUUUAUUACGCGAUACUUCCGACAAGUGUUGUGGGCGUGGAUUCUUUCAUACCUAAGUUUUUGAAGAAGGCUUAAAAAAACUUUACGUCAAUAAAGAGCUACUAACAGAAGAUCGUUAGAGGAAAGUAACAAGUUUUUUGGUACUUAUAUGUUAUGUUUAAUAUUUAUGACAUAAUGUGGACUCCACCAUCACGGCCUUUUGCUCUCAUGUAUGCAAUCAAAAAUCUGUAUAGAUAUAGUUUGGGAGUAAUGAAUUUUAUUACAGGCAAAAUCAGUCUUAUUGUUUGUUUAACAAUUUUUUUGUGUACAAAGCAGAAUAGACUUUCAUCUAGAAGAAUUUAUUGGUGAAAGAAGAAUAAGGAAGCAUGGGUUGACCGCACUGGCAGUGUGGUUAGCUGGUUGUGUAAUGAAAAACCAACAGCCAGUAACGACACUGCUCCUGCGUACUUCCAUUAUAUGCAGAAGUUGAUUCAAGAAGACCAAGAAGAAAUAUAGCAUUAAUACAUCAGUUUCGAGAUUUAAUUAUCUAUAGCUAUGAUUAUAAAGCGUGUGUUUUAUUUCAAGAAUGGGCAAACAGAAAACGAGUCAAUUAAUGAUAGAAAAUUAACACCCCAUGGCUUGACAUGUAGGACUUUUUGACUCGAUUCUCCAAAUUUAGCCCCCAAAUUUGAAUUUUAGCUUUUUCUUCCAUUGAUAAUAAACGUUCUGAUCAUGAAUUUUUAUUUGCAUGUUUUGUUUAAAUGCAAAAUGAAUAAAGAAAUCGACUUCUACGUUAAAAGCAUUACAAUCUUCAUUGCGUAAGAACAUUUAAAAUCAUCAAUCAUUUCAGAUCAUCCAGUAAAGUUUUUGAAAUUUAUAUUAGUUAUACCUUAGAUACCUACGUCGGUGAAUCAAUAAUGAAUACAAAAGAAAAAAUGUCAAACACUUAAUAGUCCAACUGGCAUGUUGACGUAAUGUGCAUAUCUGUCGACACAGAUUAAAUCUAGAAAUAGAUGUACAUAAAUAGUGUAACAGAACGUUACAAAUGCAAUAAAUUGCAGCGUUCAGGUGCGACUGGGCCGCGAGCCAGUUGACACGUGGAAGAUCGUAUCAAGUCAUACAUCCUUAUUUGUCGUUCGGGCUAAUUUGAGUUGCGUUUUAUAUAAUCUCUUUUGAAUUUCGCAUUUGCGUCUUUGUUAUAAAAGUGUUGCAGCAAAUUUUAAUUCCAACCGAUAAAACAUUAAUUGGUUCCUAAACGCAACAUAAUUGGUAACUGUAUUUUAAUAUAUAUUUUGGUAAUGUUUAUUCUAUUUUGUUAAGAAAAAAAAUGUAUGAUUUUUUUUUUUUUUGCAAUUUUUCAUCUUAAAACGUGGCUUAUAUAGAAUAAUACAACUUACCUUUAUUCCCUUAACCCAAUAAUGAAGGCGCCUAGGAGAACUCCGCGAAGGAAAAAUUUAAGUACAUUCCAAAACAAAAGUAAAUGUUUUUAUUGUGUUUUAUUUAUAGUAUAGAGAAAGUAAAUUAAAUUUCAAUAAAUUAAGGCUAGGUAAAAAAAAAUAUACGUUGUUGUAAAUUGUUUAUUUUAUUUCACUACAUAUAAGUUACAAUUAAGAGAUAUCCCAUAAUAUAAUAACAUAUUGUACAAGAGCUAGUAACUAAAAAUGCGAUUUAAUUAUUUUAUAUAUAAAAAAUAGACAAAUCCUACUUAGGGUGAGACCAAUUUUUGUUUUAAAUUGACAUUUUUAAAAAGAAAUACCGCCUUUUUGAAAUGCACACCUAAAUUCGAUUUUCAAACGACUGCUUAUUCAUAGAGAAUUAUUAAUAUUAAAAAAGUAAAAUAUAGGCUAGUUCGUUUGACUAAACGCUUAUUUAAUAUCGUAUGCCAGAAUAUAAACAUAAAUUUCUAUUACCAUAAUUUUUUAUUAAGUGAAUUAAAAGAACGAUAAUUAUAAACAUAUGCAUAUUUUUUUAUCUUUCAAAUAAAUCCAUAAAUUGGCACAAUACACUUUUUAUAACGA